GACGAACGCUGGCGGCGUGCCUAAUACAUGCAAGUUGAGCGCUGUAGGUUGGUACUUGUACCGACUGGAUGAGCAGCGAACGGGUGAGUAACGCGUGGGGAAUCUGCCUUUGAGCGGGGGACAACAUUUGGAAACGAAUGCUAAUACCGCAUAAAAACUUUAAACACAAGUUUUAAGUUUGAAAGAUGCAAUUGCAUCACUCAAAGAUGAUCCCGCGUUGUAUUAGCUAGUUGGUGAGGUAAAGGCUCACCAAGGCGAUGAUACAUAGCCGACCUGAGAGGGUGAUCGGCCACAUUGGGACUGAGACACGGCCCAAACUCCUACGGGAGGCAGCAGUAGGGAAUCUUCGGCAAUGGACGAAAGUCUGACCGAGCAACGCCGCGUGAGUGAAGAAGGUUUUCGGAUCGUAAAACUCUGUUGGUAGAGAAGAACGUUGGUGAGAGUGGAAAGCUCAUCAAGUGACGGUAACUACCCAGAAAGGGACGGCUAACUACGUG
This 497-nucleotide ribosomal RNA is filed under the name uncultured bacterium. RNAcentral describes it as "partial 16S ribosomal RNA". It matches the Rfam family "Bacterial small subunit ribosomal RNA", at positions 28 to 507 of the family's 1533-position model. The record is from RNAcentral.